Molecule: ribosomal RNA, 252 nt
Filed under: uncultured bacterium
Lineage: Bacteria
Description: partial 16S ribosomal RNA
Rfam family: Bacterial small subunit ribosomal RNA
Source: RNAcentral
UACGUAGGGUGCGAGCGUUAAUCGGAAUUACUGGGCGUAAAGCGUGCGCAGGCGGUUCGUUGUGUCGGUGGUGAAAGCCCCGGGCUUAACCUGGGAAUGGCCAUGGAAACUGGCGAACUGGAGUGUGGCAGAGGGGGGUGGAAUUCCGCGUGUAGCAGUGAAAUGCGUAGAGAUGCGGAGGAACACCGAUGGCGAAGGCAGCCCCCUGGGCUAGCACUGACGCUCAGGCACGAAAGCGUGGGAGCAAACAGG